AUUUGAAAUCUCCGUUGCUUGCAACGGCGAAUUGUAGUUUCGAGAAGCACUUUCUCGGCGGAUCGGACUUGCCUAAGUUGCUUGGAACAGCACGUCGCAGAGGGUGACAACCCCGUCUGUGGCGAGUCCGGCCGCUCACGAUGUGCUUUCGAAGAGUCGGGUUGUUUGGGAAUGCAGCCCAAAAUGGGUGGUAAACUCCACCUAAAGCUAAAUAUUGGCGCGAGACCGAUAGCGAACAAGUACCGUGAGGGAAAGAUGAAAAGAACUUUGAAAAGAGAGUUAAAAAGUACGUGAAACCGUCGGAAGGGAAACGAAUGGAGUUAGCAAUGUGCCCCUUGAGAUUCAGCCGGUGCCGGCGUAGGCGCGGCAUUUGCGGAUCCGAACGGACCGCGGUGUUGCGGGCUUCGCUUCUCACCGUCGCACUUCUCUUGGGCGCGCGUCAACAUCGGUUGGUUUUGCACCUGGGUUUGAAAGGUGCCGGGAAGGUAGGUGCGGCCUUCCUUCGGGAAGUUUCGCACUGUUACAGCCCGGUUCUCUCAUGGCUCGGGACCGACCGAGGAGGAAGCUUUUAUCGGCUAUGCAGCGCAUGCCUCUUGUGGCUGGGGUCCCGUCGUUCCGGCCGGUCGUCGACCGUGGUGGACUGCUUGCAGUGCUCCGCGACCGCUGCCGGUUGUUUUGGUGGUGACGUCGCACUAUGCGCUUAGGAUGUUGGCGGUCAUAUGGCUCCAUCCGACCCGUCUUGAAACACGGACCAAGGAGUCUAACAUGUGCGCGAGUCUUAGGGUGCUCGAAACCCCGAGGCGCAAUGAAAGUGAAGGCGGUUUCGGCCGCUGAGGUGAGAACCCGACUACUUUAAACUAGCCGGGCGCAUCAUCGACCGACCUAUUCUACUCUUAGGAAGGUUUGAGUAAGA
This 913-nucleotide ribosomal RNA is filed under the name Corynactis viridis. RNAcentral's name for it is "eukaryotic LSU rRNA". It matches the Rfam family "Eukaryotic large subunit ribosomal RNA", at positions 113 to 799 of the family's 3401-position model. Lineage: Eukaryota; Metazoa; Cnidaria; Anthozoa; Corallimorpharia; Corallimorphidae. The record is from RNAcentral.